This is a long non-coding RNA of Engraulis encrasicolus (European anchovy), 982 nucleotides long. RefSeq lists it as uncharacterized. The transcript is spliced from 3 exons. The record is from RefSeq and is a predicted model, not a curated record. Lineage: Eukaryota; Metazoa; Chordata; Actinopteri; Clupeiformes; Engraulidae.
AGCGGCUGGUCGAUCACCAUUUUGUUCUUUGUUCUGUUGUCGCUGGGAGAGUCUGCGCCCGUAGGCAAUUGUAUUCCACGGGGAUGUGGAAACCCGCGUGGGGUUGUCUGGUCCUGCGGUGCGUCUUUUGCAAGAGCGUAACCGCUUCUUGAGUUCCAAGUUAACUGAACUGCGGGCGUAGACAUUGACUUAACCUCUCCCGGAAUCUAGUAUGGUGCACUAGCCUGUCCAUCUUCCUGCUGUUGCCGUUGCUGCUGUCUAUAUAGGCAAUGUGCCUCACCCCUUGUGGUAGCCGGUGAUCUCCGAGGGUAGGCGCAUUGCUCUUGACGCGCUGCUGUUUUUGUUCUGUAGAGAUAUAGCGAGUGAAUGCGUGAGUGUGGAGAGUGAGAUGAAACGGUGGAUGUGAUGCGCGUGUUGGCGCGCCAUGGACUAUAAAUGGACUGAGUGUAUGCGUGUGUUUGCGAUGUGCAUUUAAUCUACUUCCGAUUAUAUUCUGGGUGUUUUAUUUUAUGUUAAUUCUUUUUGUGUCGACGGACGGGUACAUCCCACUCCGUGAUUGAGCCAGUAGUGCCUGGACCUCCUGAUGCGCACAGUAGCUUCACGUUUGUAGUGCCUAGGGCCUUAUGCCGAGUGUAAAUCCGUGUGCUGUGUUUAAUGAUUUCAUUCUAUGCAUGCUUAUUCAACUAGAUGUGCUUGCUGUGCAAAUUGUCUGUUGCAUUGUAAUUAUCCGAAGCUACAUAGGCUAAAGAAGGGGGAACCCAGUAGCCAUUCAUGCUCUUCUGGCUUGGGUGUCAUGUCUAUUGUUUUGUCUGGUUAUUUUAGUGUCUGUUAUUUUUAAAUAUUGUGUAUGCUGCACACCUUCCUGUAUUAAAAAGAAGAAAUCCGUUGUUCCCCGUAAUCCUGUCUCUGUCGUUCCUUACGGACCUGUGUGCUUUCAGUUUACUAUUGUGUCAUUCAAUUUCCAGAGGGACUCUAGCGCCCU